GACCGAGGGCUACCAGUCCACCCUGGUUUGAAGCCCCCACCAGCUCGCUCCAAUGGACUGCUCUUCCUGCAAGCAGUAGACAAAGCAGGCAGCUGCCAAACAACGUUAAAAGGGAAGAUUGGACAACUUUAAAUGAGCCUGAUCUGUAACUGCUCAGCAAUGUAACAAUGAAGCAACGUUAA
Long non-coding RNA from Gopherus evgoodei (Goodes thornscrub tortoise), 182 nucleotides. RefSeq lists it as uncharacterized. The transcript has 3 exons. NCBI's taxonomy places the organism in Eukaryota, Metazoa, Chordata, Testudines, Testudinidae. The record is from RefSeq and is a predicted model, not a curated record.